This 174-nucleotide ribosomal RNA is filed under the name uncultured bacterium. RNAcentral's name for it is "partial 16S ribosomal RNA". It matches the Rfam family "Bacterial small subunit ribosomal RNA", at positions 1328 to 1500 of the family's 1533-position model. The record is from RNAcentral.
GGAAUUGCUAGUAAUGGCAGGUCAGCAUACUGCCGUGAAUACGUUCCCGGGCCCUUGUACACACCGCCCGUCACACCAUGAGAGUUGGGAAUACCCGAAGCCUGUGAGCUAACUGUAAGGAGGCAGCAGUCGAAGGUAGAAUCAAUGAUUGGGGUGAAGUCGUAACAAGGUACC